RNAcentral lists this ribosomal RNA (549 nucleotides) under uncultured beta proteobacterium. Its description in RNAcentral is "bacterial SSU rRNA". It matches the Rfam family "Bacterial small subunit ribosomal RNA", at positions 355 to 897 of the family's 1533-position model. Lineage: Bacteria; Pseudomonadati; Pseudomonadota; Betaproteobacteria. The record is from RNAcentral.
UGGGGAAUUUUGGACAAUGGGGGCAACCCUGAUCCAGCCAUGCCGCGUGCGGGAAGAAGGCCUUCGGGUUGUAAACCGCUUUUGUCCGGAAAGAAAAGGCAUUCCCUAAUACGGAGUGCUCUUGACGGUACCGGAAGAAUAAGCACCGGCUAACUACGUGCCAGCAGCCGCGGUAAUACGUAGGGUGCGAGCGUUAAUCGGAAUUACUGGGCGUAAAGCGUGCGCAGGCGGUUCGUGAUGUCUGAUGUGAAAGCCCCGGGCUUAACCUGGGAAUUGCAUUGGAAACUAGCGGGCUGGAGUGUGGCAGAGGGGGGUGGAAUUCCACGUGUAGCAGUGAAAUGCGUAGAGAUGUGGAGGAACACCGAUGGCGAAGGCAGCCCCCUGGGCUAACACUGACGCUCAUGCACGAAAGCGUGGGGAGCAAACAGGAUUAGAUACCCUGGUAGUCCACGCCCUAAACGAUGGCAACUGGGUGUUGGGGAAGCGAUUUCUCAGUACCGUAGCUAACGCGUGAAGUUGCCCGCCUGGGGAGUACGGCCGCAAGGUUAA